UACGGGGGGAGCAAGCGUUGUUCGGAUUUACUGGGCGUAAAGGGCGCGUAGGCGGGAUGGCAAGUCGGUCGUGAAAUCCCUGGGCUCAACUCAGGGGGGUCGGCCGAUACUGCCGUUCUUGAGGGAUGCAGAGGAGACUGGAAUUCCCGGUGUAGCGGUGAAAUGUGUAGAGAUCGGGAGGAACACCGGUGGCGAAGGCGGGUCUCUGGACAGUUCCUGACGCUGAGGCACGAAGGCCAGGGGAGCAAACGGG
This 253-nucleotide ribosomal RNA is filed under the name uncultured bacterium. RNAcentral's name for it is "partial 16S ribosomal RNA". It matches the Rfam family "Bacterial small subunit ribosomal RNA", at positions 524 to 776 of the family's 1533-position model. The record is from RNAcentral.